UAAAAAUUUUUGUAGUUUGGAAAAUUUAUUUAAAGUUUAUUUUACAUAUAAAUUUUAGUGUUAAAUUAUAAUUAUUUUAAUAAUAUUUAUUUAUGAUAUUUAGUAAUUAAUAUUAAAUAUUUAAGAAAUUAAUAUUUAGUAAUAUUUAAAUUAAUAACAAAUUUUGUGCCAGCAGUUGCGGUUAAACAAAGAUUAAAUUAAAUUUUAUUAGUUAAAUUAAUUAAUAAAUUUAAAUAUAAUAUAAAUUUUAAAUUAUUAGGUGAAAUUUUAAUUUAAUAAAAUAUUAUAAUGUUUUUAUGAUUUAAUAAAUUUUUAUAAAAACUAGGAUUAGAUACCCUAUUAUUAAAAUUUUAAAUUAUGAUACUAAAAUAGUAAUUAAUUAUUUAUUGAAACUUAAACAAUUUGGCGGUAUUUUAGUUCAUUUAGAGGAAUCUGUUUAAUAAUUGAUAAUCCACGAAUAAAUUUACUUAAUUUACAAUUUUGUAUAUCGUUGUUAAAAAAAUAUUUUUUAAUAAAAAUAAUAUUUAAAAAUUUUAAAUAAAAUUAAAUCAGAUCAAGAUGCAGAUUAUAAUUAAGAAUAUAAUGGAUUACAAUAAAUUUAUUUAAAUGAAUAUUAAUUUGUAAAAAUUAAUUGAAAUUGGAUUUAAAUGUAAUUUUAUUUAAUUUAAUAAAAUGAUUAUUAAUUGAAAUAUGUACAUAUUGCCCGUCGCUUUCAUAUAAAAAAUUGAAAUAAGUCGUAACAAAGUAGAGGUACUGGAAAGUGUUUCUAGAAAGAC
This 776-nucleotide non-coding RNA is filed under the name Ericeia subcinerea. The record is from RNAcentral. Lineage: Eukaryota; Metazoa; Arthropoda; Insecta; Lepidoptera; Erebidae.